Molecule: ribosomal RNA, 253 nt
Filed under: uncultured bacterium
Lineage: Bacteria
Description: partial 16S ribosomal RNA
Rfam family: Bacterial small subunit ribosomal RNA
Source: RNAcentral
UACGGAGGGUGCAAGCGUUAAUCGGAUUUACUGGGCGUAAAGCGUGCGUAGGCGGUUCAUUAAGUCGGUUGUGAAAUCCCUGGGCUUAACCUGGGAACUGCAGUCGAUACUGGUGGACUAGAAUGCGGUAGAGGGUGGCGGAACUCCGGGUGUAGCGGUGAAAUGCGUAGAUAUCCGGAAGAACACCGAUGGCGAAGGCAACCACCUGGGCCUGCAUUGACGCUGAGGUACGAAAGCGUGGGGAGCAAACAGG